AAAAGUUAGUUCAGGUUUUUCUGUAAGAUGUUAUGGAAAAACCCAAAGGAACUUUUUGGC
Molecule: microRNA precursor, 60 nt
Organism: Bos indicus x Bos taurus (hybrid cattle)
Lineage: Eukaryota; Metazoa; Chordata; Mammalia; Artiodactyla; Bovidae
Source: Ensembl